UCCCCUUCGGGGGACAGAGUGACAGUUCNGUGCAUGGUUGUCGUCAGCUCGUGUCGUGAGAUGUUGGGUUAAGUCCCGCAACGAGCGCAACCCUUGAUCUUAGUUGCCAGCAUUUAGUUGGGCACUCUAAGGUGACUGCCGGUGACAAACCGGAGGAAGGUGGGGAUGACGUCAAAUCAUCAUGCCCCUUAUGACCUGGGCUACACACGUGCUACAAUGGAUGGUACAAAGGGCUGCAAGACCGCGAGGUCAAGCCAAUCCCAUAAAACCAUUCUCAGUUCGGAUUGUAGGCUGCAACUCGCCUACAUGAAGCUGGAAUCGCUAGUAAUCGCGGAUCAGCAUGCCGCGGUGAAUACGUUCCCGGGCCUUGUACACACCGCCCGUCACACCACGAGAGUUUGUAACACCC
This 409-nucleotide ribosomal RNA is filed under the name Priestia megaterium. RNAcentral's name for it is "bacterial SSU rRNA". It matches the Rfam family "Bacterial small subunit ribosomal RNA", at positions 1014 to 1422 of the family's 1533-position model. Lineage: Bacteria; Bacillati; Bacillota; Bacilli; Caryophanales; Bacillaceae. The record is from RNAcentral.